GACGAACGCUGGCGGCGUGCUUAACACAUGCAAGUAGAACGAAGUGGCGAACGGGAGAGUAAUACGUGGGUAACCUGCCCUCGUUUUUGGGAUAAGCCUUGGAAACGGGGUCUAAUACAGAAUACAGGGGGAUGGGCUCGCGGCCUAUCAGCUUGUUGGUGGGGUGAUGGCCUACCAAGGCGGUGACGGGUAGCCGGCCUGAGAGGGUGACCGGUAACAAGGGGACGGCGAUACGGCCCAGACUCCUACGGGAGGCAGCAGUGGGGGAUAGUGCACAAUGUUCGAAAGCCUGAUGCAGCGACGCCGCGUGGGGGAUGAAGGCGUUCGGGUUGGAAACCUCUGUCGCUAUCGAGCGGGUAGGUGGAGAAGAAGCGCCGGCUAACUACGUGCCAGCAGCCGCGGUAAUAC
RNAcentral lists this ribosomal RNA (408 nucleotides) under uncultured bacterium. Its description in RNAcentral is "partial 16S ribosomal RNA". It matches the Rfam family "Bacterial small subunit ribosomal RNA", at positions 28 to 526 of the family's 1533-position model. The record is from RNAcentral.